RNAcentral lists this ribosomal RNA (550 nucleotides) under Purohita taiwanensis. Its description in RNAcentral is "partial 16S ribosomal RNA". It matches the Rfam family "Bacterial large subunit ribosomal RNA", at positions 1797 to 2619 of the family's 2925-position model. Lineage: Eukaryota; Metazoa; Arthropoda; Insecta; Hemiptera; Delphacidae. The record is from RNAcentral.
UGACUGUUUAUCAAAAACAUUUUCUUUUGAUUUAUUUAAAAGGUAAAACCUGCUCACUGAAUUUUUUUAAAUAGCCGCAGUAUUUUAACUGUACUAAGGUAGCAUAAUAAUUAGUCUUUUAAUUGAGGUCUGGAAUGAAUGGUUUAACAAGGUGAAAACUUUCUUAUUUAAAUUACUUUGAAUUUAAUUUUUUAGUUAAAAAGCUAAAAUUUUUAAAUGGGACGAUAAGACCCUAUAGAUCUUAAAUUUUUUUUUAUCUUAAUUUCUUGGUUAAUAAAAUGUUAAAAUUUUAAAAAAAAUUUUUGUUGGGGUGACAUUAAAAUUUUUAAAUCUUUUAAUCAUUUUUACAUAAAUAAAUGUAUAUUUGAUCUUAACAUUUAGAUUAAAAAAUUAAGAUACCUUAGGGAUAACAGCGUAAUAAAUUUGAAUAGUUCAUAUUGAUAAAUUUGUUUACGACCUCGAUGUUGAAUUAAUAUAAAAUUUUAGAGCAGAAACUUAAAGUUUAGGUCUGUUCGACUUUAAAUAUUUACAUGAUCUGAGUUCGAGCCGG